Molecule: ribosomal RNA, 254 nt
Filed under: uncultured bacterium
Lineage: Bacteria
Description: partial 16S ribosomal RNA
Rfam family: Bacterial small subunit ribosomal RNA
Source: RNAcentral
GACGUAGGGCGCGAGCGUUGUCCGGAUUUAUUGGGCGUAAAGAGCUCGUAGGCGGCUUGUUGCGUCGACUGUGAAAACCCGCGGCUUAACUGCGGGCUUGCAGUUGAUACGGGCAGGCUAGAGUUCGGGUAGGGGAGACUGGAAUUCCUGGUGUAGCGGUGAAAUGCGCAGAUAUCAGGAGGAACACCGGUGGCGAAGGCGGGUCUCUGGGCCGAUACUGACGCUGAGGAGCGAAAGCGUGGGGAGCGAACAGG